RNAcentral lists this ribosomal RNA (484 nucleotides) under uncultured bacterium. RNAcentral describes it as "partial 16S ribosomal RNA". It matches the Rfam family "Bacterial small subunit ribosomal RNA", at positions 30 to 507 of the family's 1533-position model. The record is from RNAcentral.
AUUGAACGCUGGCGGCAUGCUUUACACAUGCAAGUCGAACGGCAGCGCGGGCUUCGGCCUGGCGGCGUGUGGCGAACGGGUGUGUUAUACAUCGGCACGUCCCCAGUAGUGGGGGAUCUCUCGGCGAAAGCCGGUUUUAUACCGCAUACUACCUGAGGGUGAACGCGGGGGCUCUUCGGACCUCGCUCUUUUGGCGCCUCCGAUGGCAGAUUAGCUAGUUGGUGGGGUAAAGGCCUACCAAGGCGACGAUCUGUAGCUGGUCUGAGAGGACGACCAGCCACACUGGGACUGAGACACGGCCCAGACUCCUACGGGAGGCAGCAGUGGGGAAUUUUGGACAAUGGGCGAAAGCCUGAUCCAGCAAUGCCGCGUGUGUGAUGAAGGCCUUCGGGUUGUAAAGCACUUUUGGCGGGAACGAAAAGGACUGUGCUAAUACCACGGUUCGAUGACGGUACCCUAAGAAUAAGCACCGGCUAACUACGUG